UGGGGAAUUUUGGACAAUGGGCGAAAGCCUGAUCCAGCAAUGCCGCGUGUGUGAAGAAGGCCUUCGGGUUGUAAAGCACUUUUGUCCGGAAAGAAAUCCUCUGGGUUAAUACCUCGGGGGGAUGACGGUACCGGAAGAAUAAGCACCGGCUAACUACGUGCCAGCAGCCGCGGUAAUACGUAGGGUGCAAGCGUUAAUCGGAAUUACUGGGCGUAAAGCGUGCGCAGGCGGUUUUGUAAGACGGAUGUGAAAUCCCCGGGGCUUAACCUGGGAACUGCAUUCGUGACUGCAAGGCUAGAGUAUGGCAGAGGGGGGUAGAAUUCCACGUGUAGCAGUGAAAUGCGUAGAGAUGUGGAGGAAUACCGAUGGCGAAGGCAGCCCCCUGGGCCAAUACUGACGCUCAUGCACGAAAGCGUGGGGAGCAAACAGGAUUAGAUACCCUGGUAGUCCACGCCCUAAACGAUGUCAACUAGUUGUUGGGGAUUCAUUUCCUUAGUAACGUAGCUAACGCGUGAAGUUGACCGCCUGGGGGAGUACGGUCGCAAGAUUAAAACUCAAAGGAAUUGACGGGGUCAUAGCUGUUUCCU
This 587-nucleotide ribosomal RNA is filed under the name uncultured bacterium. Its description in RNAcentral is "partial 16S ribosomal RNA". It matches the Rfam family "Bacterial small subunit ribosomal RNA", at positions 355 to 1375 of the family's 1533-position model. The record is from RNAcentral.